RNAcentral lists this ribosomal RNA (463 nucleotides) under uncultured bacterium. Its description in RNAcentral is "partial 16S ribosomal RNA". It matches the Rfam family "Bacterial small subunit ribosomal RNA", at positions 339 to 795 of the family's 1533-position model. The record is from RNAcentral.
CUACGGGUUGCUCCAGUGGGGAAUAUUGGACAAUGGGGGAAACCCUGAUCCAGCCAUGCCGCGUGUGUGAAGAAGGCCUUUUGGUUGUAAAGCACUUUAAGCAGUGAAGAAGACCUAACGGUUAAUACCCGUUAGCGAUGACAUUAGCUGCAGAAUAAGCACCGGCUAACUCUGUGCCAGCAGCCGCGGUAAUACAGAGGGUGCAAGCGUUAAUCGGAAUUACUGGGCGUAAAGCGAGCGUAGGUGGCUUGAUAAGUCAAUGUGAAAUCCCCGGGCUUAACCUGGGAACUGCAUCUGAUACUGUGAAGCUAGAGUAGGUGAGAGGGAAGUAGAAUUCCAGGUGUAGCGGUGAAAUGCGUAGAGAUCUGGAGGAAUACCGAUGGCGAAGGCAGCUUCCUGGCAUCAUACUGACACUGAGGCUCGAAAGCGUGGGUAGCAAACAGGAUUAGAUACCCGCGUAGUC